AAAAAGACGAACUCUGGAUUUCCGUGUCCAACUUUGACUGUUUGUCUUAUAUGAAAUUUUUUUAUAAUUCGUAUUUUCAUUGUUGUUAGAUGAUAAAACAUGAUUAAUAUUUUAUGCGUAACUUAUCUUUUUGUUUUUUUUUCAUAAUUUUUUCAAAUAAGACGAACGGUCAAACGUUGGGCACGGAAACCAGGGUUUAUCUUUUU
Molecule: microRNA precursor, 206 nt
Organism: Oryza sativa Japonica Group (Japanese rice)
Lineage: Eukaryota; Viridiplantae; Streptophyta; Magnoliopsida; Poales; Poaceae
Rfam family: MIR812 microRNA precursor family
Source: Rfam